RNAcentral lists this transfer RNA (72 nucleotides) under Apaloderma vittatum (bar-tailed trogon). It matches the Rfam family "tRNA". From Rfam's summary of the family: Transfer RNA (tRNA) molecules are approximately 80 nucleotides in length. Lineage: Eukaryota; Metazoa; Chordata; Aves; Trogoniformes; Trogonidae. The record is from Rfam by way of RNAcentral.
GGCAGGUUAGCUCAGUUAGUUGAGUGUGGCGCUAACAACGCUAAGGACGUGGGUUCGAUUCCCCUUCGGUCC